This 301-nucleotide ribosomal RNA is filed under the name uncultured bacterium. RNAcentral's name for it is "partial 16S ribosomal RNA". It matches the Rfam family "Bacterial small subunit ribosomal RNA", at positions 509 to 807 of the family's 1533-position model. The record is from RNAcentral.
CAGCAGCCGCGGGAAUACGUAGGUGGCAAGCGUUGUCCGGAAUUAUUGGGCGUAAAGGGCUCGCAGGCGGUUUCUUAAGUCUGAUGUGAAAGCCCCCGGCUCAACCGGGGAGGGUCAUUGGAAACUGAGAAACUUGAGUGCAGAAGAGGAGAGUGGAAUUCCACGUGUAGCGGUGAAAUGCGUAGAGAUGUGGAGGAACACCAGUGGCGAAGGCGACUCUCUGGUCUGUAACUGACGCUGAGGAGCGAAAGCGUGGGGAGCGAACAGGAUUAGAUACCCGCGUAGUCCCUGUCUCUUAUAC